CAGUAGCCGCGGGAAUACGGAGGGAGCUAGCGUUGUUCGGAAUUACUGGGCGUAAAGCGUGCGUAGGCGGUUACUCAAGUCAGAGGUGAAAGCCCGGGGCUCAGCCCCGGAACUGCCUUUGAAACUAGGUGACUAGAAUCUUGGAGAGGUCAGUGGAAUUCCGAGUGUAGAGGUGAAAUUCGUAGAUAUUCGGAAGAACACCAGUGGCGAAGGCGACUGACUGGACAAGUAUUGACGCUGAGGUGCGAAAGCGUGGGGAGCAAACAGGAUUAGAUACCCCGGUAGUCCCUGUCUCUUAUAC
This 301-nucleotide ribosomal RNA is filed under the name uncultured bacterium. Its description in RNAcentral is "partial 16S ribosomal RNA". It matches the Rfam family "Bacterial small subunit ribosomal RNA", at positions 509 to 807 of the family's 1533-position model. The record is from RNAcentral.